UACGGAGGGGACCAGCGUUGUCCGGAUUUACUGGGCGUAAAGAGCGCGCAGGCGGUCGAUCAAGUCGAGUGUGAAAGCCCCCGGCUCAACUGGGGAGGGUCAUUCGAUACUGAUCGACUCGAAGGCAGGAGAGGGUAGUGGAAUUCCCGGUGUAGUGGUGAAAUGCGUAGAUAUCGGGAGGAACACCAGUGGCGAAGGCGACUACCUGGCCUGUUCUUGACGCUGAGGCGCGAAAGCUAGGGGAGCAAACGGG
RNAcentral lists this ribosomal RNA (253 nucleotides) under uncultured bacterium. RNAcentral's name for it is "partial 16S ribosomal RNA". It matches the Rfam family "Bacterial small subunit ribosomal RNA", at positions 524 to 776 of the family's 1533-position model. The record is from RNAcentral.